GAUGAACGCUGGCGGCGUGCCUAAUACAUGCAAGUCGAGCGAUCAGACGAGGAGCUUGCUCCUCUGACGUUAGCGGCGGACGGGUGAGUAACACGUGGAUAACCUACCUAUAAGACUGGGAUAACUUCGGGAAACCGGAGCUAAUACCGGAUAAUAUAUUGAACCGCAUGGUUCAAUAGUGAAAGACGGUUUUGCUGUCACUUAUAGAUGGAUCCGCGCCGCAUUAGCUAGUUGGUAAGGUAACGGCUUACCAAGGCAACGAUGCGUAGCCGACCUGAGAGGGUGAUCGGCCACACUGGAACUGAGACACGGUCCAGACUCCUACGGGAGGCAGCAGUAGGGAAUCUUCCGCAAUGGGCGAAAGCUUGACGGAGCAACGCCGCGUGAGUGAUGAAGGUCUUCGGAUCGUAAAACUCUGUUAUUAGGGAAGAACAAAUGUGUAAGUAACUAUGCGCGUCUUGACGGUACCUAAUCAGAAAGCCACGGCUAACUACGUG
RNAcentral lists this ribosomal RNA (497 nucleotides) under uncultured bacterium. Its description in RNAcentral is "partial 16S ribosomal RNA". It matches the Rfam family "Bacterial small subunit ribosomal RNA", at positions 28 to 507 of the family's 1533-position model. The record is from RNAcentral.